RNAcentral lists this long non-coding RNA (1420 nucleotides) under Salmo salar (Atlantic salmon). RNAcentral describes it as "lncRNA (ENSSSAG00000109435.1)". The record is from RNAcentral. Lineage: Eukaryota; Metazoa; Chordata; Actinopteri; Salmoniformes; Salmonidae.
AUGACGGCUUCUACACAAAAUGAAAAGGGAGGGGCAUGUAAGAAAGAGCGGGAGAAAAGACAAGGACUUCAUUAAUAUACACACAGCUGAGAACUAUUCUCAUCGAAAUGCUAAUACUUUGCACAUGAGCAGCCACUAAUUUGAAAGAAUUGCAAUGUACAUAUUUACGUGGCUAUGUCUUUGCUAUUUCUCCGUUGAAAACCCUCGAUCCGUCUGGGGAGUAAUUUGACAGAAAGUCUCUGGUUUGUACACCAGAGAUCAAAGUCUUUCGUAGUUGUAGCUCUGUUAUAAUGGAUACAUCAGACAUACCAAUGGUCGUUUGAUAGGAAAUGUUACAUCACAAAUUAGUAAUGACUUCGACAUGAUUGUUCUGAGGUCCUGAGCGCUCUGGCCUGGCCAAGAUAAAGCAAAGCAGUGCGACAAUAACAACAACACAGAGCUAAACAUAAACAAAAUGUACAGUCAAUAACACAAUAGAAAAAUCUCCAACGGAGCUAAUCCAGUUUGUUCUCCAGUGAUUUGAUAGGAUAGUCUCCAACUGAGCUCAUCCAAUUUGUUCUCCAGUGACUGUACAUUCACCAGGGAAUAGAGGCGGUUUAUUUCUUACGGCGGUAUAGCACCCUGACACGAAACUAUGUAUCUUAUUGUUCUGCGUCUCGGGGAUUAGGGCGUGGUCUUGGGGAUUAGGGCGUGGUCUCGGGGAUUAGGGCGUGGUCUCGGGGAUUAGGGCGUGGUCUCGGGGAUUAGGGCGUGCACCAAAACAAGAUUGGAUCAGCACCCCCCCCCCCACACACACACACACACACAGAGGGUCUGCUUCCCAAACCAAAGGUUUAAUGUUUAAUGGGAGGACCAAAAGGCAGAACAGCUUCUAUCCCCAAGCCAUAAGACUGCUGAACAAUUAAUAAAAUGGCCACCUGGACUAUUUACAUGGACCACUUUAUAUUUUGCCCCUGACUCUAUGUGCUGUCACUCCAACACACACACACACACACUACAUAUUGAUGCUACACACUGUUUCACACUCGUUGUUGUUAUUUUAUUGUGUUGAUAUUUCCUUUUUUAUUUAGAAAUAAUUUGUCUGACUUUAUCUGCAUUGUUAGGAAAGGGCUCGUAAAGCAUUUCACAGUAAAGUCUACACCUGUUGUAUUAUGUGGCCCAAAACAUAUGAUUUGAUGUGACGGUGCCUCUUAGUCCCUGGCUUCAAGAAAGAUGUUUCAAAAACUGAAAUGACACUUUUUGUACACUGAGAGGUGGUAUAGCACAGCUUAUUGGAUAACAGGCUUUCUGUGAUUCCUCGCCUCCUAUCUCCUCCUGAGUCAUAUUGGAGGAGAAUGUCCAAGGUCCCUCCCCUGACCUUCUCGAAUGUGUACAAAACUCUCUCUCUUUCUCUCUCUCUCUCUCUCACUCUCCCCUCAGC